UCGUCCUGAGACACCGUGUGUAAUACAACAAAAACAAUACAGAGAAGGUUAGCAUGGCCCAUGCCCAUAGAUGACACGUACGCUCAUGACGUCAUUAAGCUUAUC
Small nuclear RNA from Schistocerca cancellata (South American locust), 105 nucleotides. Lineage: Eukaryota; Metazoa; Arthropoda; Insecta; Orthoptera; Acrididae. The record is from RefSeq and is a predicted model, not a curated record.